UCACACUGAGGUGGAUUUUGUGAGAAAUGCGAAUUAUUUAUUGUACCCCAAUUUAUGACCAGAGGGUGGAGAGUGAAAUUAGGUUUAGGUUAGGGUUUUUUUACUUUACUUCAGUGAGCGAAAGUCAGGUUCGUGGUUAACCUUCCCAAUCUUCAGAGUUGAUGAGCCAUGUCUCGUUUCCAAUGUUCUUCUUCUUUUUGCAAUAGCUCCGGCC
This 214-nucleotide long non-coding RNA is filed under the name Vigna radiata. RNAcentral's name for it is "long non-coding RNA (VRAD_LNC017974)". The record is from RNAcentral. Lineage: Eukaryota; Viridiplantae; Streptophyta; Magnoliopsida; Fabales; Fabaceae.